RNAcentral lists this long non-coding RNA (923 nucleotides) under Phascolarctos cinereus (koala). RNAcentral's name for it is "lncRNA (ENSPCIG00000005077.2)". Lineage: Eukaryota; Metazoa; Chordata; Mammalia; Diprotodontia; Phascolarctidae. The record is from RNAcentral.
UGGCAGUUGCUCAGGUUAGUUAGGAUUAACGCUAUGGAUGUAACUCCAGAGAUAUCAGCCUCACCAAAGAAUGACAUUGCGAGUGCUAAUUCCACAGCAUUAAGAUAUGGUAGUAGUAUCAUGAUAUUGCAGAAUGAGGGAAGUAAAGGAGACUUUCAAAUUACUGGAAGUACAGAAACUCUGUUUCGAAUACCUAUCACUAUCUGGGAUGAAAGUCGAUUUGUCCUGAGGGCCUGGGCUCUCUCCAUUAGUGCUUUAGCAUUUUUGCUGCUGCUUUCUUUGGCUGAUGGACGACUGGCUAUCAUUGAAGUAUCAGCAAUUCACACUGAAGUCCUGGGCUACUUUACCAACUGCCAACGGCACACCUGCCCCAAACUAGACAAGGUCACAGUGAGUAAACACCUGGGAAUGGGCUUCAUGAUCCUUGCCCUGGCCACUGAGACUUUCUGCCUCUUCUUCAUGGGCUUCUCUUUCCGGCCCAUCUUCCGAAGAAUCAAUCGCUGUGAUUUGGUCUUUGGUAUCCUCAACUAUACCACUGUAUGCUGCUCUUCAGUAUCGAAUGCUGGAACCUCCACUUCGACAAAGUCACCUUCGUUCCCCCUUACUAUUUGUGCUGGGCUAGCUCCCUGAUACUGAUCUUGUCAGGCACCCUCUGCCUGAUCAACUACUGGCAUACCUUCAGGGUUCCCACCUCGCCCUCGAAGCCCGGCUCGAUGAUCGCGCUGCAGGGAUCCUCGUCUUCCUACUCCCAUAACGUGAUGAAAAAACUCCGGGUGGGGCGACGCAGGACCACCUUCCAAAUUACGCCCCAUCUGUCCUAGCGAGCCCCGGCCUCCUACUGCCUCCCUCCACUGGCAUGCCCCCAAUUCAUUCAAUUCAAUGUCCCCAAUAAAACUUGCCCGUCUUCGAGUCCUAGAACUUUU